RNAcentral lists this ribosomal RNA (460 nucleotides) under uncultured bacterium. RNAcentral describes it as "partial 16S ribosomal RNA". It matches the Rfam family "Bacterial small subunit ribosomal RNA", at positions 338 to 795 of the family's 1533-position model. The record is from RNAcentral.
CCUACGGGGGGCAGCAGUGAGGAAUAUUGGUCAAUGGGCGCGAGCCUGAACCAGCCAAGUAGCGUGAAGGAUGACUGCCCUACGGGUUGUACACUUCUUUUAUAAAGGAAUAAAGUGAGGCACGUGUGCCUUUUUGUAUGUCCUUUAUGAAUAAGGAUCGGCUAACUCCGUGCCAGCAGCCGCGGUAAUACGGAGGAUCCGAGCGUUAUCCGGAUUUAUUGGGUUUAAAGGGAGUGUAGGUGGGUUGUUAAGUCAGUUGUGAAAGUUUGCGGCUCAACCGUAAAAUUGCAAUUGAUACUGGCAGUCUUGAGUACAGUAGAGGUAGGCGGAAUUCGUGGUGUAGCGGUGAAAUGCUUAGAUAUCACGAAGAACUCCGAUUGCGAAGGCAGCUUACUAAACUGCAACUGACAUUGAUGCUCGAAAGUGUGGGUAUCAAACAGGAUUAGAUACCCUUGUAGUC